UUGAAUGUGACCAUGUUCUGUGAGAGUUAUCGAGGGUACACCUGAGACGCUGGGGAGAGAAGGAGCACUGUGAUAACAGUAACAUUAGUCUCCAGAAUAAAACUGAGACUUUGAGUUGGAAUGGGACAAACAACUUGUCAAUCAGCAGAUGUAUUUAGGCACUGAUGUUGGAGUAAAAAGGACUAAUUGUACAUGUUAGGAAGUAUUUGAUAGUCAAAUGGAGUUCUCAUCUAAUAUCACUGUAUUGACCAUCAGUAGCAUCUGAUAUGCAGAGAUCUUAGUUUUGCAGUUGACUCUGCUGUCAAAUUUAUAACAUUUUGUACAAUCAACCACUACCAAUUUCAAGCGUAUCGGUAUAGUCUGUUUUUCCCAGAACUAUCUCCCAGAUUCAUUGCAUUAUCUCAUACUAAUCCCAAGUAAGCAAGUAACCAAUUAUCAUCUUCUUCUAAUGUGCAACAGUAUCCAUCUGUGGUGUUUGCAAAAUAAUGCAGUAAUGUGCUGAGAGUAUCAUCCAACAGAGUAUUGGGGAAGGUUGUUGAAUCAAUUCAACUCUCUUCCACUGGGAAGAAUCAAAUUUCAUUUUCACUGGGCAGAAGGAGCUGGAGUGUUUCUCCUUAUAUUCCAACAUUAAUGAGGAUAAUAGCCAUCCUGGGCUUCCUGGGAUAAUUUUAUAGCUUCUCCCAACCAUAUCAAGGAACCAGCUGCCUGAUGUGUGAGUUGACCACCAAUUACCUGCAACAAUACAUUGUAGAUAUAGUGCGCUGAAUUUCGUGCUGAGAUGGGGCUGCCCCCCCCCCACCCCACUCCAUCAGUACUGUUCUCUAGUAUUCACUUGGCGGAAGGCAAGCUGGAUUGUGUUUGCAAAUGCACUUGCAUGAGAUGAGGAACUGCUGAGGGCUUGUUCUUACAGAAACAUGGCUCCAGAACAAUA
Molecule: long non-coding RNA, 931 nt
Organism: Hypanus sabinus (Atlantic stingray)
Lineage: Eukaryota; Metazoa; Chordata; Chondrichthyes; Myliobatiformes; Dasyatidae
Exons: 3
Source: RefSeq, a predicted model, not a curated record